RNAcentral lists this long non-coding RNA (1804 nucleotides) under Olea europaea (common olive). RNAcentral describes it as "long non-coding RNA (OEUR_LNC013687)". Lineage: Eukaryota; Viridiplantae; Streptophyta; Magnoliopsida; Lamiales; Oleaceae. The record is from RNAcentral.
UGCUCAAAUUUUUAAGCAUAUCAAAAAAUGAAGUCAAUGAAAACUCCAUCUGAAUAAAAGAGAAACAAAACUUGGCCAUUUAAUUCAUUUCAUCUGCAAUGCUUUGUCAGUGUUUACAAAAGAAUAUCCAAAUAAUUCAUGGCUGCACAAAAGAAAACUGCACAAUCAUUUAUCUCAAUGUGCGUCUUUCACAACUUCUUGUAUUAGAUAUGCUUUCAGACUUCUUAUUUUCCAUUCAUUUAACUAGUUUGUUUUUUAUUUUCUCUAUUUCCAUUUGUGACAAAAUCCACCAUGACAUCAUUAUAUCAAGUCAAAAUGCUCAAAGUUAGUAAUGAGUAGUAACAUGAAUUUUGGUAGUUACAUAGUCCCAUUAUUAGUAUUUUUAAUCAAUAAAAUUAUUAAGAUUGAUAAAAUAGCAUGAAAAGAAGUAAAUGAUACAUAAAAAGUACUCUAAAUGAAACCUCAAAUUAAAACUCCAAAACAAAGAGAGCAUAAAUGUUAUAAUAAUAGUGGCUAGCAAGUUUGGAAUUGGAUGCUUUUGUUGAAGUGGAAUUAAAAAAAAAAAAAAAAAUUAAAAAGGAACACGGUUUUUGUACAAAGAUUUUUCAGCCAAGCUGUAAGGAAUAUAGCAUAUUGUGUUGAAAAGUAGUUCUAAUUGUCAAGCCGCUUUUGGGUUUUAAAGAAUUCUUUUCCAUGUCUGCUUUUUGUGGUUUUGGUCGAUUUUUAUUAUUAUUAUUAUUAUUUUUCCAACUAGAAACAUGCUUUUAUGUCAUUAGAUCAUUAUUUCUUUUGCACUCUCUACCAUUGUAAGAUAAAUAUGGAAGCUAAAGGAAAAGACUAUUAACAUUAAGUUCAUCAGAAAACUAAAUCCGGGUGUAUCGAAGAAGAAAAGUACAUUUUCAUCAUAAAACUAAAUAUGGGUGUAUCAAAGAAGGAAGGUACAUUUAUUGACUAAAGAUCAUACUUACGAUUUAUCUAAGAGAAAAGUUUAUUUAUACACAAAGCACACAUUAAUCAAUCAUCACAUGAAACAAUUCACCGUUUAAAUAUUACCAUAAAAUCAUCUACACACAAAUCACAGAACACGAUUUUAGAUUGUUGAGAAAAUUGGGUGAUUUGUGUGUAGAUAAAUUAUUAAUUAACAUAAUUAAUUAAAUAAUAUAAACAUAUUUCAAAAAUAAUAUGUACAUAAGAAUAUGAUAACAUUAUAAUUCAAUAGUAUGAAAAGAGUUAAAAUGCAAGUCUUGGGAGUCAUGUCGAAAAUGCUGUCCUAAAUUCGUGUUGUCUCCUCCUCGUGUGGGUACUUUCGGUGCUACAUGGCUUCAAGAUAAAAUACAUGUGGUUCACAGUCGGCUCUCCUUCUAUGUGCACGACCAUAAGGAAAUAAGUGAAUGAACCUUUAUCGAGUUGCAAAAACUAUAUAAAAUAAUAUAAAAGUGUAGAUUGUAUUCUAUCAAUUUAUCCUUUUUAUGUUAUAUUUAAAGCCAUGAAAAUCACUCCCUUUUAUAGGGACAAAUAUAACCCCCACAUUAAUGAAAAUAAUAAGUUAUAAUCCAUUAAUCAUAAGUUUCAAAUUUUUAUUAAAAUGUAAAUUGAAAAUUAAAAAUUAAAAUUACGUUUAAUUUUGAAAUUUAAAACUUAUUAUUAUUUAUGUCGCAUUUUAUGUUUACAUAUUGUUGGGUUUUAGAGAUUUUGAAGAAUAUGAGAUUUGCAAAUCUGGGUCAUAGUUCACAGAGCAUAGAGAUAUUAGAGAUGUUACACUUUUGUUAUUGAUCAAUGAAUCAUAUUAUUUUGAAAAUUUAUG